This 369-nucleotide ribosomal RNA is filed under the name uncultured organism. Its description in RNAcentral is "bacterial SSU rRNA". It matches the Rfam family "Bacterial small subunit ribosomal RNA", at positions 527 to 896 of the family's 1533-position model. The record is from RNAcentral.
GUAGGGUGCAAGUGUUAAUCGGAAUUACUGGGCGUAAAGCGUGCGCAGGCGGUUUUGUAAGUCUGAUGUGAAAUCCCCGGGCUCAACCUGGGAAUUGCAUUGGAGACUGCAAGGCUAGAAUCUGGCAGAGGGGGGUAGAAUUCCACGUGUAGCAGUGAAAUGCGUAGAUAUGUGGAGGAACACCGAUGGCGAAGGCAGCCCCCUGGGUCAAGAUUGACGCUCAUGCACGAAAGCGUGGGGAGCAAACAGGAUUAGAUACCCUGGUAGUCCACGCCCUAAACGAUGUCUACUAGUUGUCGGGUCUUAAUUGACUUGGUAACGCAGCUAACGCGUGAAGUAGACCGCCUGGGGAGUACGGUCGCAAGAUUA